RNAcentral lists this ribosomal RNA (480 nucleotides) under uncultured bacterium. RNAcentral's name for it is "bacterial SSU rRNA". It matches the Rfam family "Bacterial small subunit ribosomal RNA", at positions 29 to 523 of the family's 1533-position model. The record is from RNAcentral.
AUGAACGCUGGCGGCAUGUNNUNNACACAUGCAAGCUCGAACGGCAGCGCGGGAGCAAUCCUGGCGGCGAGUGGCGAACGGGUGAGUAACAUAUCGGAACGUGCCCUGGAGUGGGGGAUAACUAGUCGAAAGAUUAGCUAAUACCGCAUACGAUCUACGGAUGAAAGUGGGGGAUCCGCAAGGACCUCAUGCUCCUGGAGCGGCCGAUAUCUGAUUAGCUAGUUGGUGAGGUAAAGGCUCACCAAGGCAUCGAUCAGUAGCUGGUCUGAGAGGACGACCAGCCACACUGGAACUGAGACACGGUCCAGACUCCUACGGGAGGCAGCAGUGGGGAAUAUUGCGCAAUGGGCGAAUGCCUGACGCAGCAACGCCGCGUGAGGGAUGAAGGCCUUCGGGUUGUAAACCUCUUUCGAGCAGGGACGAUAAUGACGGUACCUGCAGAAGAAGCUCCGGCCAACUACGUGCCAGCCGCCGCGGUAA